Molecule: ribosomal RNA, 279 nt
Filed under: uncultured bacterium
Lineage: Bacteria
Description: partial 16S ribosomal RNA
Rfam family: Bacterial small subunit ribosomal RNA
Source: RNAcentral
UGCCAGCAGCCGCGGUAAUACGGAGGGUGCGAGCGUUGUUCGGAAUCACUGGGCGUAAAGCGCGUGUAGGCGGUUCGGUAAGUCUGAUGUGAAAGCCCGAGGCUCAACCUCGGAAGUGCAUUGGAUACUGCCGAGCUAGAGUCCCGGAGAGGAGGGUGGAAUUCCUGGUGUAGCGGUGAAAUGCGUAGAUAUCAGGAGGAACACCGGCGGCGAAGGCGGCCCUCUGGACGGUGACUGACGCUGAGACGCGAAAGCGUGGGGAGCAAACAGGAUUAGAUA